UUCUUCACAGAUACCUUAAAUUAGGAAGAAAAUGCCUUUGGUUCUUGGUUCUACUAUUGGCUUCAAAUUCUUAGGCAUGCCAGACCCUACUGAACGUCUUGACACAUGUCCUUUCUUCUCUGAACUGGCCCACAGGCAUGAUAUAAACAUUAGCUGUUGAAUAACCUGAUAGGCACGGAAUAAACAGCCUCAAAAGAAUGGACUCAACCCAAACUGGGGAACCCAGGUAGUGGGCUUGAGAAGCAAUUGUGAAGAAGGAAGUUGCUGAGUGAUCACAGACUUACCAAAGACAGUGUUUUGGCUCUGCGUGGCUAUGAUAAUGAGUUUUGUGAAUGAAACAGCAGGCAUGCUUUAUUUUUUGUGGUUCUUUACCAGAGUGGAGUUAACCAUACCAAAAAGCUAAUCAAUCCCACAGAGCAAAGUAGAGGAGCUAUGAAGGCCAAAAAAGUCCCAAAGUCAGAAUGAUCCUUCCCUUUCCCAGACUACAGCAUCAAAGAUUUAGACCCUAGACCUGGAUCUACUCUUUACCAAGCCCGAACCCUUUGGGAAACCAAUGAACUCAACUUCUCUGAGCCUCUCUUCCCAUUUGUAGUAUGUACUGCAGUACUCACACUAUCAUCAGUGGGAAUAGUGGGCAUGUCAUGAAGAUCUAGUGGCAUGAUGUGGGUGAGAGUGAUGACUAUGAGUGCUAAGUGCUACACAAAUGGAAAGGGAAGUUCCUAGCUACUCUAUUCAUUCAAAAGUAAGUGUUCACAUUGGAAUGCUAAAAAAAGAACCUAUGACAGAGAAGAGACUGUCAGUACUAGCCAGUUACUCCUCAGCUGCUCUGUAAUUCCCCUAUCCCAUCUGUAGUUAGAGGGAAGCCAUGUUUUAGCCAGCAAUUGUGAGAAGAGGUGAGGUGUGUCCCUCCUAGGAGAGGUAGGCAGGCAGCCGGCACCCCCUCCAUGUCUCUUCCUUGCUCUGGAGACUUUGGAAAGCUACAUUUUCCAGAUGGUGUAGUUAUAAGAUGGAGGAAGAUGGUUGAACUUACAUGCUACUUUAUGUGAAUGAGAAAUGAACAUUUAUGGUGUCUAGCCCCUGAGAUCUUGAGGGUUGGUCUGUUACAGUUAUGCUUAGCAGUCAUUACCCUCAUUCAGGACAGAAGUUUUGGUCAGUAAGAGACAGGCCACAUCUAUUUCAGAGAAUCACAGAAGCUUAUAUCAACCUCUCCUCUCAGGAAUUUUCUGUGAGUUGAGUUCUACCCAUUCUGCUCGAGGUUUUAUUUUGAUUGGAAAUCUACUGUCUUAGUGGGAAGGAGACAAAUCAUUCUAGUCAAAAAACUUCCUUUUGCUACAAAAUGCAUUUAUUUCCAGUCAGACAAAAUUCUUGAACUGUAUAUUCGGGUACAUAUUAUAAGGUCAUCUUUGAUAUAUGCCCUGUUUAUAAGAUCCAUUUCUAAUUAUUAAAGUGAAUAUCAAACACACAUCUUUGCAUCUUAAAACAUAAAUAAACUGCUAAUGUUUAUAAGCCACAAAUCUGGUCACUGACAUGAGUGGCCUGCAAUUCUUCAGUGACGAGCACACAGCGAUAUAGACAAGAUCAGAUUCCCCAGGUAGGCAGGCAGCAGGCACCUGUAAUUCGCUCGCUGACUGUGCUGUUGUGGCAGUGACCCUUCUUGUGAAAAAAGAGUUAUGUGCAGACAAAAGUGUGACAUAUGCAACAUGGAGAGGCAUUUCACAGAAUGCAAACACCAUUCAGGUAAAUUAGUAGACUCCAGAAUGAAUGAAAGCUUCAUGAAUGCAAACCUGUUGUUUACAAUACUGGGUAUUGUGGCACCUUUUCACUGGACACUUUAAUAAAUAUCUA
This is a long non-coding RNA of Nomascus leucogenys (northern white-cheeked gibbon), 1845 nucleotides long. RefSeq lists it as uncharacterized. The transcript is spliced from 2 exons. NCBI's taxonomy places the organism in Eukaryota, Metazoa, Chordata, Mammalia, Primates, Hylobatidae. The record is from RefSeq and is a predicted model, not a curated record.